GCCCGGAGGCCAGUCGGGCUGCCCGCGCCGGGAUCGGAGCUUCUGUCGUACCGGCGAAGCUCGGUCUCGUCGUUCUUUACCUGUGCACUUGACCAGCGAGUCAGCUGGAAUUGCGUGACUGUGAUCGGCGCUGCUUUCGCAGUAAAUGGGAGCUCAUAAGACGCGGUGAAUGUCACGGUCUCUUCUCCGGCCGUUCAACGAGGGCCGGCGUGAGGAGGGGCUGCCUGCGCUGUGGAAGCCUCUGAGUCCCGGUCGCGGGACAGCGGAGCGCAGGCGGAACCAGCUUCUCAUGGGGAGGAGGGUGCCUGGGGUAAGAGGCUCAGAGACUAUCCUGACAUCACUGCAACCAUGAUUUCACCAGGAUAAUGUGCUGCAAAGUUAUUGUCAUAUGAAAUCUCUACUCCUGGAAAGAGAAAGUCUCUCACAAGACUUUGAUCUAGGAUGACACUUCAUUCCUGCAGACCUGUGACAAGUCAUGGCAGUGUCCCCUGAGUCGAGCUCACAGCAUGCUCAGGAGCUGCCUCCUCUGGAGUGUCCUGUGUUACCUCCUCAGUGGCCCAAGUGCAGGGCAUACCUAUGAGCCAGCAGUAAAGCACACACCAAGGUUCAGUGGAUGGAGGUGUGGAGGAAGUCUGAAGCAAGGAGGGAAGCGGAAUGCCAGGCAUGGGAGGCCUGGAGCAUGCAGCCAGUCCCAGUCCUGCUGGCUUGGGAAUGCUCUGUAAUGCCUGCAUGCCAGGCAAGAGGGAGUGACUUCAAAGCACAUCUUUAUUAGGGUACACUGCUUAUCAUCAAAGAAAUGUCAGGGCUGCUCUACACUGACUCUCUGCCUGCGGCACUAAACUAGCCUGUCAUUCAGAAGUCUCAGUACAAACCACAACUGCUGACAGAGUCCUGGAAAAAUUUAUUUUUCCACAUCUAAUUGCCCUUUUUGCUUUGUAAACAUAAAGGUUGAAGCUUAAACUCUGACAGCUCCAGUAGCCUUUUGCUUAACUCCUUAAAAAAAAUGACAUUCGGCAUGUUAAAUUUUGCUUUUACCACUGCCUGAAAUCUCACAAAAUCUGCACAAUGUUUUUUUAAAGAUCAUUGAAGCAUUUCAGCACUCACUUUGGGAAAAACCCUUCAACUAACAAAAAGACAAAAGCUGGUGCCUGAAGAGCCAAGACCUUUCCCCAUAGCAAUUCAGGAUAAAAAUGCUUGACCAAAAGAGGCACAGCGAGCAAUUGGCAUUCCACCUUUCCCUUGGAGCAGAUUAAAGAAUGCCUAUCUGCUCUUGUUAUUGUUCCAGAAAGAAAUGAAACAUCGAAGACAGGAGAAAAAGAUAAACAACUGUUAAAAAGCAAAAUUGGAUGUAUAUAGCAGUCUGAAAACUUCCAGUUCAGUUUCUUCAGUGACAUGGGUUCUCUGUCCUGGAGGAGGAUCCCCCGAAGUGGGGGGAUGCACUGUUCCCCAGACUCUGCACUGCCUCCUCUGAGAGCAUCGUGCCUGCAGGAGCCUCCUCUGGGUCAGGGCUUUUAGCUGCUCCUGCUGCAGUCUUUCACCAUUCAAGAUGCAUGUCCUAAAUCACUUCAACCACAGAGAAGUGAUUUUGUAGCCACAGCUCUUGAAGAAAUAUCCUCUGUUUUUCUGGGAGGUGCUGCCCAUUCCCUCCGUCUGACAUGAAAACAGGGUCAUUGCAUCACCAUCAUUGUCUCUGCAGAGACCCUCCUGGCCUGGGCUCUGCUUCCAUCUGCCCACGGAGAUGAGGACCAGACUGCCCUGCCGCCAGCCUCCAAACCUGCAUGGCACAGACCCUGUGCUCGUCCCUGCCCCUGCAGCCAGCCUGGCCAGCACCCAGCUACCCCCAGCUGAUGGAUCUGUGUCUGUGAACGAGUGGCAGCGUGGUCGGCAUUGUCCUGAGUGUCAGAUUCUUCCUAAGUGGCAGCUCUAAUGGGCUGUGGGUGAUCAGAUGCUCCUGGGAUAACAAGUUUUUGGAAAGAGAUAAAUGCAGCAAAUGUGCACGAACAGGGGGAUAUUGUCAUGGCUUAACCCCAGCAAAAAACUCAGUCCCACACAACUGUUUGCUCACCCUUCUCCCUCAGAGGGAUGGGAAGGAGAAUCAGAAAAAGGGUGUUUUUCUGUAGAUUGAAAUAAGAACAGUUCAAUUAUUAAAAUAAAGUAAAAUAUUGCUACUUCUACCCUGGAGUUCAGUAGAGCUGACUUUGGCCUCUUCAGGGAUCUGCUGUCAGUGUCCUUUUCAUAGAAUAUCUUCCAUACUUUCCCAGAGAUUCAGUUUCUCUAUCCAGUGCAUGUUUUAGUUCCUGUCCUCCAGAGUUCACAGGUAGUGCUUGGUUCCCAUCUCUGCUGUUGGCUUUAGUUUUGUUUCUGCAGACAUAUUUGACUACUUCCUGGCCACUGUUUCAUGGAGGAUGUAAAUUUAACCAGAGGUGUUGUCAUGGUUUGACACUGGCCAAGCAUCAGGCACCCACAAAAGGCACUCGCUUUCCCUCCCCUACCACAUGUGGACAGCAUAGAGAAAAAAAUUAAGAAAGGGUUUAUGAGUUGAGAUAGGGACAGGGAGAAAACUCUUCAAGGGCAAAACAGGCUCAACUUAGAGGUACAAAGUACAGGUGUACAGGUGCAAGUGGAGGAACCUUGUGUAGAUGCUCCCUGGUUAUCACUGGACCAUGUCACUUUCCUCUUUCAUUAGCCUUGUUUUAGCUACCCACUCCUGUACUUCUCCUUCAGUCCAUCAGACACUUCAUUUCUCCCUUGCAGGGCUCAGUUGACAGGCAUUUUUGCUCUUCACCAGACAGCGUGUGUUCUUGUCAGCUGCCAGGCAGCUGAUCAUGAUUAGAUUGUAGUUGUGAUAGUGGUUUCCUGUCUUUCAAGCCUGAACAGAUGGUGUACUGCUCCCAGUCCAAGGCUUGACUUUCAUAGUGCUUCAUGGCUUGGUCAAAUGGCAGUUGUGGAAUCUGUGCACAUGAAGCCUCUCAAGAAGACCAUUGUGAGGGAAAGGAGCAACUGUGUCCUCUAAGAACCCUGCAAAGUUAUACCCACUUCAGAGGAGUGCUGGGGUGCUUUUGUUUGUUGGAUGCAGUCCUCCAAACUACAGUGCUGUUCCUCACCUUAAAAAUCUGUUGCUAUCUCAGUCUCUCAAUAUCAUAUUUAGGCUUGAUAUUUUAGAGAGUAACUAGUGUUUUAUCCAGUAAGAGAUGCUACUUUUCAAUGUUAUGUUACAGGAUCAAUAAGGACCAGGAAUGGGGCCCUAUAUGAUAGGCCUGAUAAUGGAUUUGCUCCCAGAAUUUCCAGAUUUCCUUCUUCCUCUGUCAGUUUUCCAUUCUAACAUUACAGGUUUUCCUAUCUAUCAGCUAUACAGGGUAACCUGAUGUGGCUUCUUCUGUAGAAGGUGUAUUGGGGCUUGCAUCAGUGACAGAAGCCCCCCAUGCCUGAGGAGUCUGGUGGUGAUGGAGCUGUCUCAGGAAGGAGCUCCCCUGCACAGUUCAGUAGACUUGGGCAGUAUUCUGACUGCCUUGUGAAGAUCCAUGAAAUGAAUGAUCAUCAAAUGUGGCCACUCCCUUCCAAAAAAUAACAUUUCUGCUGCACCUCAUCCUGUAACAAAACAGCUUCUUCUCAUAAAAUAAUAAGCUUCCAUCUCUUCAUUUUUUGCAUUGCAUGGGAAUGACUGGCAACCUGAUCACAUGUGCCAAUUUAUUAACUAAAUCUCAUUUACUAACUGGGAACAAAUUAUUUUUCUUGUAGCUGCUGAAUACAAAUGAGGUUGGGCUUCAGAGCUGCCCAGGUGCCAGGAAGCUUCCUUGGCCCAUUUGUCCCCGUGUCAAUGACAGUUGCACUCUGCCAGUAAAAAACUUGUUUUCUGAUAGGCCCUGCUAGCUGUGAGAGGGUUGCUGAGCUCCAGGCUAAGGAAUGCUUACACAGGAGGAAGGUUCAGAGACCUAUCUCUGGUGCUGAGCUGCAAGAGCUCUGUUCUAGUGCAGAGGAACACAUCCCCAGCGCUGGCAAUAAUUUCUUCCAAACUGUGUGCCCUGCCCAAGUGACAGAGAGAGAGCGGCCAGCCUUGGAGCACUCCACUUCUAAGGGCAGCCAUCAGCUGUGGCCUGUGCCCCAUCCUGACACACGUCUCUAUAGUGACAGAGCAUGGGAAAGAAUGAUGUUCUGAGAGCUGUGGGGACACAGCAAGGCUUUACACCCUUCUGACAAGGGCCAUCCCACCCACUGCCUGCUGCCCUCAGGACAGGGCCAGCCAGGACAGGCAGAGCCCAGGUGGAGACUGAGGGGGAAGGGGCAUCUAUUAGCGAGUUUCCCUGCCCAGGCUGCUCGCUUUUCUGAGAUCUUCCUCUAGGUCUCCCAUAGGAAAUUAUCCCUGGGUACACCCUCUUGGCUCAGCAUUUCCAGUUGCUCUCUGGGGGAGCAUCUUGGACAUCCACUGCACCCAUUGGUCCUGUGCCUACAUGCAGUUCCCAAACAGUGGGUAAAGUGACCUUCCUAAAACAGCCUGGCACUCACUCCUCUGCACAGAGUCACUGUGCUGGCACUCACUCUCUGCCAGGAGACCAUCUCUGUGUAGAAUAUGGUGGUCCUUUUCAACAGAGGCUUUGGCAAACAAUCAGGUUGAGUUUUGAAAUCUCUGGGAAGGGCCAGUCUGUGAUGAGUGUUUGCUUCUUCAUACCUGCCUCCAGGUUUUAUGAUUUUUCCCGAGAAGGAAAAAUAACAAAAAAGAUAAUUCUUUUAAAACUGUUUCUCUGAGAUCCCAGGUUGUUAAGCUUUAUGCUGCUAGAUAAAUCAAACUAACUAACUGAGUUAAUUUGUCUGACCAUAAAGUGGAUUCAAUAAGUGUAAAACAAAACUAAUUGGUUUGCUUCCAUACAAAUUUAAUCACACUAUAAAAUGUGAUCAAUGCAAAUAAAAAGCAUUGAGUAGGUUGAUUAUCAAGAAUCUAUAAAGGAAAAAAAUGCGCUUUCAGGAAUUGAAAACUGUGUGGAUUUCCAUCUCUUUGCUGAUCAUCCCAUGAUGUAGACCCAGUCCAAAUGUGCUGUGCAGGCGGGGGCUGUGGACAGGACCUUGAGAAGAAGCACUCAGCUUUCAGUGAGCUUUGUCUUGACUGCUGCAGCACUCUCAUAGAGGCCUCUGAGAUCUCAGGAGGGACAGGAGGGCAGGGGUCAGUCCCCUGUCAGUCCCUGAGCCAGGCACAGUCCCUCUCCUGCUCAGGAAGGAGGAGCAGAGAGGAGCACUGCAGAGUCACAGUGGGUGCCCUGACCAGAGGUGACAGUUGUGUUGCUUUGCCUGCUACUGCCCCACCAUCAGCUCCUGCCCCUGAGCUUCUGGGAGAAGCACAACUGGGAGCCUCUUGCUGUGUCAGGCACCCUGGAGAGCUUGCUUCCCCUCACUCCUUUCUCCCAUCUCCCCAGAUUUCAAGGUUAAGUUCUAGUAUCUCAUAAAACAUGCUCAUGCCAUAAUUUCAGCCUGCAGAAAGUCCUUUCCAUGCAAGGGCUAGGAUCCAUAUGAAUUGCCCUGUUCUAUAGCUCCAACUACAAUAAUGAAACUUUAGAUGCUGACAGUUUUUUUGAAAAAUACCUAAUAUAGCUUAAAUAAUUAUUUAAUGCAGACAAAUAGAAAAGAGAGCAUCCAUAUGCUGUGUUGCAAUAAAUAAUACUUGUAACUUGCUGGGCAGUAGCAGCAGCAGCAUGAACAAAGGGCUCUAGCAUGGCUAGAGAAGGAGGGUCUAGCUGAGGAGUCACCACAGGAAGGCCCUGCUGGGUGCUUGUGGUGUUGAGGGACAGGAUGAGAACCCUCCACAAGCCAAAUUAAUACAGGACUGUUGAACCUGGGGGAGUAGAAGGAGCUCUUUGUUCUGCUGCUGGUGGUGCCAACAGCUGGCAGGGUCUGCGGGCAGAGGGGCAGCGUUGCCCAGCACAGGUGGUGGGAAGUAGGAGAGGAGUGGGGGCCCCACGCAGGCUACCUGGGCAGCACCUCUGCUCUCUCCAGCUGCAGCCACAUCCCAGAGGUUCUGCACCACCUGCCCAUGCUGUCUGUGCCCCUGGAGCAGGGUGCAGAGGUUCUCUGUGCUGGCAGAGCCUGGACUCACGUGCAGCCUUGUCCUGCAGGCCUUGUUGGGCAGUUGCUGCAGACUGGAAGGAAAGCGUAAAAGAGUACAGGGAGGCAAAUGGCUCCUUGUGAGUGGAAUAAACUCCCAGCAAGGGUGCUGCUCUGCCAGGAGCAAAGCCUGUUCGCUUUUGGAGCUGCUCCUCCACCACUUUCCCAGGCUGAUGUGGUUUUUGUGAGUAUAGCUCUCAGUCUUUCUUUGAGCUCCACAGUCAAUGACUGCUUAUGGGUUUUUCCUUUGCUUUAUAAGCUCAGUGGUAUUUGGGAAAGCAUCCGGAUCCCCUCCAUGAGCUCUGACAGAUUACAAGGGCUGCACUUAACUGAGUUCACAGUGUUCCACCGUGUCAGCCACACAGCAGCAGGGCUGCGGAGAUGUGCCUUGGCAUAGCAGAAGAUAAAAAACUACAGCAGAGAUGGAAGAUAAGUGGCAAUAAAAACUAAAAUGUGGAAUGUCUGCCCUUUAAAAUAUAUUAGGCAGUUUAUAAAUAAGCUCUGUGUUUUUAGGAUGAAUGCAGAAUUGUUCAGUCCCUGAAGAAUCUGACCUUGAAGAGAAGAAAUGCUGUGAGCAGCUUUCAAAAUGUUCUCAGGAUGAUCAGACAGGACAAUUGCUCUUGCUUAUUAUUUCAGCAGUAGAUGGUGUGUUUGGCUGGUGCAGUUUGGGAAGAAACUUGAGCUCCUCUUUCUCCCAGGUAAUCUCAGUGUGAUGUCAGAGGCAGAGAAGAACUCGAGGGUAAAGUUACCAAGUGUUUGGUGAGAUUUCCAGGGAUGCGUCACUCCUGGCACACGAGUCACCACUCUUGGCUGGGUGACUUGUGUGCUGGUUCUGACAGCCAAGCUCUGAGGGUGUGAAGCUGAACCAGACAGAAGUGCUCAGCCUGGUUCUCGCCACCUCGCUUGGCUGCCUUGUGCUGCAAAGCUCCUGCCUGGUGAGCUGAGCUGUGCGGGUCUGCCGUGCCAGCAAAGCUCCUGCCUGCACCCUCAUCCUGGAGGGAGGAAAGAGCAUCUCUCAGGACGUGGGUGCUUGAGCUGUGCUGUUCCUGUUCUCCAAGGGUGGUUGUACACGUGUCUCCCAAGUCUCACAGUAGUGAGGCAGCCUCUUUGGGGUGAGGAGGACUUUCUGCUGAUACUGGAGAUGUUCCCAUUUGUGUUAGGUACUUAGCUUUCUUGUAGGGUGAAGUAGCAAGCCUGUGAACAGAAGACUCUGUGGGGAGUGAGGAGAGGUGGGCUUUGGCUUUUGUUCUGGUAAAUGCUGACGAGUCAGAUGCUUUCUCUGGACAGCUAGAGGUUCUGGCCCAAACUGGAAAAGGCUGCUGCUGAUUUGGGAUUCUUCUGCUUUCAGGUAGCCUGCACUGAGGGCCAAGUCUUGUCUUCUGCUGCAAUAUCUCAGUCUUGGUGAAUGAAUGCUGUCCUACCAGCCUCUGUUUGGGCAAUAUGGAAAACAGUGGCCCUGCAGAUUCUUUAAGGGGUACGGAGUGAGUAGAGUGGUGAGGUGAACCAUAGCCUCCCUAUUUUAAAUAUGUUCUUAGAGAAAACAGAGAUUAUUCCCUGUGUGGAGGAAUAACCAGCAAAUUGAUACCUGCACAUCCUGAUGCAGGGAGCCAGAAGCCCCUUGUGCUCUAGGCUCUGGCCGAGAAAAUGUAAACAAACUCCAGUUUUAUGUCUGACCAAGGAGAUAUAAACCAAGCAUAUAUUGUAGCCUUUUAAAUAUGUUGACAUUUUACAAUCCAUCAAGGCCUUUAAUUGUAUUUUGAGUGAGUUGUUCUAUAUGUAAAUACUAGUUAAUGUUGAAAUUGUUUAUAGCCAAAUUGUCUGUUUAUGCAAAUUGUGUUCCAAGAUCACAGAGCUUCUAUUGUACCAUAAACAUGUCUGUUUUAUUUAAUGUUGGAAAUGUUUCCUUUGGCUGCUGUAGCUCUUCGGUGCUGCUAGUGUGGGGGUGAGUGCCAGCCUCCCCGUGGGGCAGAGAGAUGUGAUGGCUGCUCCAAGAGCUCCUGCUGUGCAUCUGACUCCCUGAAGCUGGUCCCCUGGGAUGGUGUUUGAACUGCUUUUCUGCCUGCACAGUCCAUGGGCUGUGGUAUCCUCCACAAACCUUGGAGAGCCCAGUGGCUCCCUCCACUCAGUCUGGCCUGGGAUGCAGAGCCCCCACAGGUGCAGAUGCUGCUAUGUGAAGGGAGGGAUUCCCCCACACUCUCUGGCAUUCCUUGAUCUGGUUUCUGUUAAUUCGACGUUUUGGUGCAGAAGAUGGCCAGUAUUAAAACCCAGACUGCUCCUACUGGGUGUGAAGUGCAGAGAAAUCAGCAUGCUGCUCCUGCCUGUGCUGCGCCCAGGCAGUAAUCGAGAUCACCACCCCGCGAUAAAUCUCUUCCUGCCAUCGGACAGAAGAGAGAAGCAGUUACUGUGGGCUUUGCCUCCAGGUUUAUUAUCACGGGGAAACACAUGCAAAUGAAUGGCUCACCCGAUACAAAUCAGUCGUGCCGGAGCGUUUGCCGGCUGCGAUGCAGACACACGAUAUCUGUGAUCUGCAGGCAAGGAGCAAGCUCAGUCGUGCCUUUGCAGUUGUGUGCAGAGACUCUCACUGAGUGCAGCCGCCUCUGAACUGGCCUCUGUGCCCAGGCCAUGCUCCUUUCCUCCUGGAUUUUUCAGUCUAAUAGUACUGUUGAUCUGGCCUUUUUGUUUGCUCAAUGUCAGCAUUCCUCGGGGAAUGUUGCAGAGCACUAGCAGCUACACAGCCUGAAGGUGGGCUCCCAUAUUAUUUCUUCAUUAACAUUUGUUGUUCAUAAAUAUAUAUUCACUCCUAUUUAUCACAAGAACACCGAUUACAAACCAUAAAUUCUAACUGUGGGGAAUAUUUCAGUCCAGUUUUAUUAAAAAGUGAUUUUUUAAAAUGUUGCCGAGGCUUUUAGCCAGUUAUGUGCUACUAAAUAUUUAAAUCUGUAUCUCUUGUGGCAUGCUGAAUUACAGCAAGGGGAUAUUUAACGUUCCCAUUUCUCCAGCAUAAAUCUGUGAAAGAUUGACUGUAAGAAAAAUACAGUCAGGAACAGCCCACGUACUUGCUGAGUGCUCUCUCGUGGCAUGCGCCCACUGGCACGUCCCUGCCGC
Long non-coding RNA from Melospiza melodia melodia, 9195 nucleotides. RefSeq lists it as uncharacterized. The record is from RefSeq and is a predicted model, not a curated record. The transcript has 4 exons. NCBI's taxonomy places the organism in Eukaryota, Metazoa, Chordata, Aves, Passeriformes, Passerellidae.